RNAcentral lists this small RNA (131 nucleotides) under Arabidopsis thaliana (thale cress). RNAcentral describes it as "ATSL270090". The record is from RNAcentral. Lineage: Eukaryota; Viridiplantae; Streptophyta; Magnoliopsida; Brassicales; Brassicaceae.
AGAACCGUAACAGAUCUUAAAAGCAUAAGUAUUGUAUCAUUGUUAGAAGAUACAAUGACGAAGACUCAUAUGGACUUCGGCUACACCAUCAAAACUUUGAGAAGCAAGAAGAAGCUUUGUUAGUGUUUUGG